This 449-nucleotide ribosomal RNA is filed under the name uncultured bacterium. Its description in RNAcentral is "partial 16S ribosomal RNA". It matches the Rfam family "Bacterial small subunit ribosomal RNA", at positions 29 to 523 of the family's 1533-position model. The record is from RNAcentral.
AGCGAACGCUGGCGGCAAGCUUAACACAUGCAAGUCGAACGAUGUAGCAAUACAUAGUGGCGGACGGGUGCAUAACACGUGGGUAUCUGCCUUUAGGUACGGAAUAACUCAGGGAAACUUGAGCUAAUACCGUAUAAUAUCUCUGGAUCAAAGAUUUAUCGCCUAAAGAUGAGCCCGCGGCAGAUUAGCUAGUUGGUAGGGUAAUGGCCUACCAAGGCGACGAUCUGUAGCUGGUCUUAGAGGAUGAUCAGCCACACUGGGACUGAGACACGGCCCAGACUCCUACGGGAGGCAGCAGUGGGGAAUAUUGGACAAUGGGGGCAACCCUGAUCCAGCUGUGCCGCGUGAGUGAUGAAGGCCUUAGGGUUGUAAAGCUCUUUUAGAUGGGAAGAUAAUGACGGUACCAUCAGAAAAAGCCCCGGCUAACUUCGUGCCAGCAGCCGCGGUAA